GCAUUCGUGGUGUAGUGGUCUGCAUGCUCGACCUUAAUCGAAAGGUCCGUGGUUCGAUUCCCGGCGAAGGCG
RNAcentral lists this transfer RNA (72 nucleotides) under Stegodyphus mimosarum. It matches the Rfam family "tRNA". From Rfam's summary of the family: Transfer RNA (tRNA) molecules are approximately 80 nucleotides in length. The record is from Rfam by way of RNAcentral. Lineage: Eukaryota; Metazoa; Arthropoda; Arachnida; Araneae; Eresidae.